CCUACGGUGGGCAGCAAUGAGGAAUAUUGGUCAAUGGACGAGAGUCUGAACCAGCCAAGUAGCGUGAAGGAUGACUGCCCUAUGGGUUGUAAACUUCUUUUAUAUGGGAAUAAAAUGUUCCACGUGUGGGAUUUUGUAUGUACCAUAUGAAUAAGGAUCGGCUAACUCCGUGCCAGCAGCCGCGGUAAUACGGAGGAUCCGAGCGUUAUCCGGAUUUAUUGGGUUUAAAGGGAGCGUAGGUGGAUUGUUAAGUCAGUUGUGAAAGUUUGCGGCUCAACCGUAAAAUUGCAGUUGAAACUGGGGAUCUUGAGUGGGCGAGAAGUAUGCGGAAUGCGUGGUGUAGCGGUGAAAUGCAUAGAUAUCACGCAGAACUCCGAUUGCGAAGGCAGCAUACCGGCGCCCGACUGACGCUGAGGCACGAAAGCGUGGGGAUCGAACAGGAUUAGAUACCCUAGUAGUC
Molecule: ribosomal RNA, 460 nt
Filed under: uncultured bacterium
Lineage: Bacteria
Description: partial 16S ribosomal RNA
Rfam family: Bacterial small subunit ribosomal RNA
Source: RNAcentral